CUACCUGACCUAGCGGCGGACGGGUGAGUAAUGCUUAGGAAUCUGCCUAUUAGUGGGGGACAACAUUCCGAAAGGAAUGCUAAUACCGCAUACGCCCUACGGGGGAAAGCAGGGGAUCUUCGGACCUUGCGCUAAUAGAUGAGCCUAAGUCAGAUUAGCUAGUUGGUGGGGUAAAGGCCUACCAAGGCGACGAUCUGUAGCGGGUCUGAGAGGAUGAUCCGCCACACUGGGACUGAGACACGGCCCAGACUCCUACGGGAGGCAGCAGUGGGGAAUAUUGGACAAUGGGCGAAAGCCUGAUCCAGCCAUGCCGCGUGUGUGAAGAAGGCCUUUUGGUUGUAAAGCACUUUAAGCGAGGAGGAGGCUACUUGGAUUAAUACUCUAGGAUAGUGGACGUUACUCGCAGAAUAAGCACCGGCUAACUCUGUGCCAGCAGCCGCGGUAAUACAGAGGGUGCGAGCGUUAAUCGGAUUUACUGGGCGUAAAGCGUGCGUAGGCGGCUUUUUAAGUCGGAUGUGAAAUCCCUGAGCUUAACUUAGGAAUUGCAUUCGAUACUGGGAAGCUAGAGUAUGGGAGAGGAUGGUAGAAUUCCAGGUGUAGCGGUGAAAUGCGUAGAGAUCUGGAGGAAUACCGAUGGCGAAGGCAGCCAUCUGGCCUAAUACUGACGCUGAGGUACGAAAGCAUGGGGAGCAAACAGGAUUAGAUACCCUGGUAGUCCAUGCCGUANACGAUGUCUACUAGCCGUUGGGGCCUUUGAGGCUUUAGUGGCGCAGCUAACGCGAUAAGUAGACCGCCUGGGGAGUACGGUCGCAAGACUAAAACUCAAAUGAAUUGACGGGGGCCCGCACAAGCGGUGGAGCAUGUGGUUUAAUUCGAUGCAACGCGAAGAACCUUACCUGGUCUUGACAUAGUAAGAACUUUCCAGAGAUGGAUUGGUGCCUUCGGGAACUUACAUACAGGUGCUGCAUGGCUGUCGUCAGCUCGUGUCGUGAGAUGUUGGGUUAAGUCCCGCAACGAGCGCAACCCUUUUCCUUAUUUGCCAGCGGGUUAAGCCGGGAACUUUAAGGAUACUGCCAGUGACAAACUGGAGGAAGGCGGGGACGACGUCAAGUCAUCAUGGCCCUUACGACCAGGGCUACACACGUGCUACAAUGGUCGGUACAAAGGGUUGCUACCUAGCGAUAGGAUGCUAAUCUCAAAAAGCCGAUCGUAGUCCGGAUUGGAGUCUGCAACUCGA
Molecule: ribosomal RNA, 1237 nt
Filed under: uncultured Acinetobacter sp.
Lineage: Bacteria; Pseudomonadati; Pseudomonadota; Gammaproteobacteria; Moraxellales; Moraxellaceae
Description: bacterial SSU rRNA
Rfam family: Bacterial small subunit ribosomal RNA
Source: RNAcentral